AGGAUUAACGCUGGCGGCGUGCAUGAAACAUGCAAGUCGAGCGCGGGAUAUCGGCUUCGGUUGAUAUCUCUAGCGGCGCACGGGUGAGUAACACGUGAGCAAUCUACCUUCAAGUUCGGGAUAGCUCUGGGAAACCAGGAUUAAUACCGGAUGUGGUUACAACGAGACAUCUCGAUGUAAGUAAAGGGGCAACCCGCUUGAUGACGAGCUCGCGGCCUAUUAGCUUGUUGGUGGGGUAACGGCCUACCAAGGCAGUGAUGGGUAGCUGGUCUGAGAGGACGAUCAGCCACACUGGGACUGAGACACGGCCCAGACUCCUACGGGAGGCAGCAGUUAGGAAUUUUCCGCAAUGGGCGAAAGCCUGACGGAGCAACGCCGCGUGAGUGAUGAAGACCCUAGGGUUGUAAAGCUCUGUCGGAGGGGAAGAAUAAUAGACGGUACCCUCCAAGAAAGCCCGGCUAACUACGUGCCAGCAGCCGC
This 480-nucleotide ribosomal RNA is filed under the name uncultured bacterium. RNAcentral describes it as "SSU rRNA". It matches the Rfam family "Bacterial small subunit ribosomal RNA", at positions 26 to 518 of the family's 1533-position model. The record is from RNAcentral.